This 22-nucleotide unclassified non-coding RNA is filed under the name Mus musculus (house mouse). RNAcentral's name for it is "oocyte_clustered_small_RNA11015". Lineage: Eukaryota; Metazoa; Chordata; Mammalia; Rodentia; Muridae. The record is from RNAcentral.
UCAGACCCUUAGUGCUUACAGU